GGAAACCAAAGGCACCCAGGGGCUGGGGGAGCCCGAAGAUUUGGCGGGGAGGAACGAGAGAAACCGAGAUUGGCUGGGAGCUGUCCAAGAGAGUCAAAAGGGGUGGAGAACCUACUUCCUUUUCUCCAAGACCGUGGUUGAUCGACCUUCCUCCCUCAGGCUCCUUCUUGACAGUCUUCUAGAAGGGAGAAGAGGGAAAAGAAGCAGUUCCUGAUGCAGAUGAACAGCUGCUCCCAGUUGUGACGUCAUGGCCGAGCUCCCACACUUACGUUGUGAAACUAGGUAUGCUGAAGGGUGGAGUCAGCAUGAGGAGCAGACACCCAAAGAGAGGCUUCUCCCUGCGAGGUCUGUCUGAAAUCCGUCUUCCACAAGCUCCACCACGGCUUCUGCUAUCCCAGAUCUUCAACAGUUGCAGUUCUGAUUGGUCAGCCCUCAGCUUUUGCAUUUCUUAGGAGACCGGGCACAGGAUGGUGGAGUGUGGUUCCCCUAAGUGAUGCAGAAACUUGCCAUAUCCAUUUGGGUUGUCCCGGGGGUAGAUACACGUUUUGGGGUGCCUGAAACACAACUUUUGGAGCCUUUGAAAAGAAAAAUACAUUAGGCACAAAAGUGAAAACAGUUUAGAAUGAGAAAAGAUAAAAUUUUUAAGGAGCUGACAAAUACCACA
Molecule: long non-coding RNA, 664 nt
Filed under: Ursus americanus (American black bear)
Lineage: Eukaryota; Metazoa; Chordata; Mammalia; Carnivora; Ursidae
Description: lncRNA (ENSUAMG00000024465.1)
Source: RNAcentral